AAAAGCUCGUAGUUGGAUCUCAGAUCCGGCCGGACGGUCCGCCUACCGGUGGUUACUGUUCGUUGCCGAUCGUUCAGGCGGUUAUUCUUGAUGAUCUUCACCGGUUGUCUCGGGUGACCGCCAAGUUUACUUUGAAAAAAUUAGAGUGCUCAAAGCAGGCGUGACGCCUGAAUAAUUGUGCAUGGAAUAAUGGAAUAGGACCUCGGUUCUAUUUUGUUGGUUUUCGGAACACGAGGUAAUGAUUAAGAGGGACAGACGGGGGCAUUCGUAUUGCGACGCUAGAGGUGAAAUUCUUGGACCGUCGCAAGACGAACUACUGCGAAAGCAUUUGCCAAGAAUGUUUCCAUUAAUCAAGAACGAAAGUUAGAGGUUCGAAGGCGAUCAGAUACCGCCCUAGUUCUAACCAUAAACGAUGCCAGCCAGCGAUCCGGCUGUGUUCCUCAAAUGACACGCCGGGCAGCUUCCGGGAAACCAAAGCUUUUGGGUUCCGGGGGAAGUAUGGUUGCAAAGCUGAAACUUAAAGGAAUUGACGGAAGGGCACCACCAGAAAUGGAGCCUGCGGCUUAAUUUGACUCAACACGGGAAAACUUACCCGGCCCGGACACAGGAAGGAUUGACAGAUUAAGAGCUCUUUCUUGAUUCUGUGGGUGGUGGUGCAUGGCC
Molecule: ribosomal RNA, 663 nt
Filed under: Larinioides cornutus
Lineage: Eukaryota; Metazoa; Arthropoda; Arachnida; Araneae; Araneidae
Description: SSU rRNA
Rfam family: Eukaryotic small subunit ribosomal RNA
Source: RNAcentral